UACGGAGGGUGCAAGCGUUAUCCGGAUUUACUGGGUUUAAAGGGUGCGUAGGUGGGUCUGUAAGUCAGUGGUGAAAUCUCCGAGCUUAACUCGGAAACUGCCAUUGAUACUAUAGAUCUUGAAUUAUCUGGAGGUGAGCGGAAUAUGUCAUGUAGCGGUGAAAUGCUUAGAUAUGACAUAGAACACCAAUUGCGAAGGCAGUUCACUACGGAUUGAUUGACACUGAGGCACGAAAGCGUGGGGAUCAAACAGG
RNAcentral lists this ribosomal RNA (253 nucleotides) under uncultured bacterium. RNAcentral describes it as "partial 16S ribosomal RNA". It matches the Rfam family "Bacterial small subunit ribosomal RNA", at positions 524 to 776 of the family's 1533-position model. The record is from RNAcentral.